RNAcentral lists this ribosomal RNA (103 nucleotides) under uncultured bacterium. RNAcentral's name for it is "partial 16S ribosomal RNA". The record is from RNAcentral.
AAGGCCUUCGGUUGUAAAGCUCUGUCGGACGGGACGAAAGCCAACAGUUAAGAGCUGGUUGGCCUGACGGUACCGUUAAAGGAAGCACCGGCUAACUUCGUGC